AGCCUGAACGCUGGCGGCGUGGCUAAGACAUGCAAGUCGUACGGGUGCAGCAAUGCACCAGUGGCGGACGGGUGAGUAAAGUAUCGCUAACGUGCCCCUACGUCCGGGAUAGCCGAGGGAAACUUCGGGUAAUACCGGGAGACAUCGCCUUGAGGCAUCUUGAGGCGCUCAAAGGAGUAAUCCGCGAAGGGAGCGGGCGAUAUCGUAUCAGCUUGUUGGCGGGGUAACGGCCCACCAAGGCGACGACGCGUAGCCGGACUGAGAGGUUGGCCGGCCACAUUGGGACUGAGACACUGCCCAGACUCCUACGGGGGCUGCAGUAACGAAUCUUCCGCAAUGCACGCAAGUGUGACGGAGCGACGCCGCGUGUGGGACGAAGCCCUUCGGGUGUAAACCACUGUCAGGGCAGCCAAGACUGAGGCGCCCAGAGGAAGGCACGGCUAACUCUGUGCCAGCAGCCGCGGUAA
Molecule: ribosomal RNA, 467 nt
Filed under: uncultured bacterium
Lineage: Bacteria
Description: SSU rRNA
Rfam family: Bacterial small subunit ribosomal RNA
Source: RNAcentral